Molecule: ribosomal RNA, 493 nt
Filed under: uncultured bacterium
Lineage: Bacteria
Description: bacterial SSU rRNA
Rfam family: Bacterial small subunit ribosomal RNA
Source: RNAcentral
GAUGAACGCUAGCGACAGGCUUAACACAUGCAAGUCGAGGGGCAGCAAGAAUUGUAGCAAUACAAUUUGUUGGCGACCGGCGCACGGGUGAGUAACGCGUAUGCAACCUACCUAUCAGAGGGGGAUAGCCCGGUGAAAGCCGGAUUAAUACCGCAUAAAACAGGGAUCCCGCAUGGGAAUAUUUGCUAAAGAUUUAUUGCUGAUAGAUGGGCAUGCGUUCCAUUAGUUAGUUGGUGAGGUAACGGCUCACCAAGACAUCGAUGGAUAGGGGUUCUGAGAAGAAGGUCCCCCACACUGGUACUGAGACACGGCCCAAACUCCUACGGGAGGCAGCAGUGGGGGAUAUUGCACAGUGGGGGAAACCCUGAUGCAGCGACGCCGCGUGAGUGAAGACGGCCUUCGGGUUGUAAAGCUCUGUUGUGGGGGACGAAACAAAUGACGGUACCCCACCAGAAAGCCACGGCUAACUACGUGCCAGCCGCCGCUGUAAUAC